UCUAAACCUUUCUUGCGAUGCUAGUGAGCGUUUUCCAUGGAUACGACUACAAUAUUUCAUUUUUUUGUCAUUACAGAUGAAUGAGUGAUGUAAUUCSAACSAUUAUUCAAGGAAAUCGAGGAUUUUUUCUUGUUUACAUUCCUGUUUUUAUCCAUCUGCGCAUUAAGAAUCCAUUUUUGCGUCAAUUUUGAAAUUUAUUUGAAAAUUUGUCGUGCAAUUCACUUUGAAAUCAUUUGUAAAGUUAAAAAAAGAKUUUGAAACUAGAUCCUUCCCACUWWUUUUUUUCCAAUUUGUUUCUUUUUUAUUUUUUAAUUGAUAAAUAGAAAAGGCUUUCGCAAAAUGAGUUAUAUACAAAUAGUGUGCGAAUG
This 368-nucleotide ribosomal RNA is filed under the name Ribes erythrocarpum. The record is from RNAcentral. Lineage: Eukaryota; Viridiplantae; Streptophyta; Magnoliopsida; Saxifragales; Grossulariaceae.